CCCACUCCCCUUCAGUCUCGUUUCCCCCUCCUUAUGUUUCUCCCUUUCUAUUCAAAAAUUAAAAUAAUAGUGUUGGUGCUUGAAAAAAAAACUCAAUUUUUCUACUAGAUGAAAAUCUCAUUUUAAGAAGUGUUAAGAAGGAAAGGUGCUCCCCUCUACAAGGUGGUGUUUGUGAGCAAAUUUAUUUAAGUUGGUGAUCAUUUACAUUAUUGUGGAAAUUGGAUUUUGCCCUCAGAUGAUACCCGAAUUCGUUCCACCGACUAUUACCUUGACGACAAAAACGUCGUUAGACUUCCCUGACCGAUAUUCGCCGACUGCUUGGGUAUACAACUCCAUCUCAAGCAAGGCUACUUAUACGAGAGGUUGGUGAGGACAAGUAGGAGAGCUGGAGCAGUAUAUCUCGUGGAGCUCACUCACGAGAGGAUCGACUAUCUGGUACUCUCAGGAUUGGUGUUCGAGGUGAAUGGGUCAUGGGAAGAUGCAGAGGAUUCCUCAGUUAGAGUUGAGAUAGAGACCAUUGUAGGAGCUGGAGAUACAGUGGUUGAAUCGGAGACUAGCGGGAAUGAUAAGGGGCUGAUGCCAGCGAGAAGAGAUAUUGUGGGACCGUCUAUUCGAGUUGAGCCAGAGCUUCCACUUCUGGUGAAUGAUCAUCUACUGACUAUCACUGAUGUAGUGAGUUGUUAUGAGAUUCCAGCGUCGCUGAAGCCACCUAUCUCGUGGGUGGACCUAACUUCUGAGGAUACUGAUCCUUUUAUGGCUGAUGAGUAGGAGGAAGUUACUUCGAGGAGAGAUAUUGCGUUAAAAGGAACUUGUGUAGUGUGUGGAGGUCACCCUUGUUACUGUAGUUAUUAGUGGAUGAUCAGAUUAGUUUUUGAUUGUAUUGUGUCUUGGUGUUGUUCUUUUGGUGGUUGUACCUAUUAUAUUUUGGGAUGACCGUAUCUAUGACAUAACUUGACAGUUGACUUUUGGUGGGUUCAUUUUCCAUUUUUUUGACGUGACCAUGGGGGAUAGUAUUCUUGGUGCAGUACUUAUGUGCAAGUGUCUGCCGAGAAUAGCAUAGGGGGUAUGAGUGAUGUAUGAUAGGUCUCAUAGCUCUAGUGUAUUUUCUAUUUGUAUACUUUGGGUUAUAGUCCCAAAAAUUAUCUUAGGUUGUUGGUAUAUUUAUGAUGUAAUUAUUUAUGACUCUUGUUGUUUUGUGUUAUGACGUAUUAUUUUA
Molecule: long non-coding RNA, 1216 nt
Organism: Cicer arietinum (chickpea)
Lineage: Eukaryota; Viridiplantae; Streptophyta; Magnoliopsida; Fabales; Fabaceae
Source: RefSeq, a predicted model, not a curated record